Molecule: non-coding RNA, 29 nt
Filed under: Mus musculus (house mouse)
Lineage: Eukaryota; Metazoa; Chordata; Mammalia; Rodentia; Muridae
Source: RNAcentral
UAACUGUAUAUGGGAUGAAUCCCCAGAUG